RNAcentral lists this non-coding RNA (28 nucleotides) under Mus musculus (house mouse). The record is from RNAcentral. Lineage: Eukaryota; Metazoa; Chordata; Mammalia; Rodentia; Muridae.
UGCAUUCCUGAUACCUCCUGACUGACCU